RNAcentral lists this ribosomal RNA (143 nucleotides) under uncultured Alphaproteobacteria bacterium. RNAcentral's name for it is "partial 16S ribosomal RNA". It matches the Rfam family "Bacterial small subunit ribosomal RNA", at positions 338 to 500 of the family's 1533-position model. Lineage: Bacteria; Pseudomonadati; Pseudomonadota; Alphaproteobacteria. The record is from RNAcentral.
CCUACGGGAGGCAGCAGUGGGGAAUAUUGGACAAUGGGCGAAAGCCUGAUCCAGCAAUGCCGCGUGAGUGAUGAAGGCCUUAGGGUUGUAAAGCUCUUUUACCAGGGAUGAUAAUGACAGUACCUGAGAAAAGCUCCGGCUAA